This 468-nucleotide ribosomal RNA is filed under the name uncultured bacterium. RNAcentral's name for it is "partial 16S ribosomal RNA". It matches the Rfam family "Bacterial small subunit ribosomal RNA", at positions 28 to 507 of the family's 1533-position model. The record is from RNAcentral.
GACGAACGCUGGCGGCGGGCUUAACACAUGCAAGUCGAACGGCAACGCACUGCUAUCGUGCGCUUCUCGAUUGCCGAACGGGUGAGUAACACGUGAGUAACCUGCUCUUCACUUUCGGAUAACUUCACGUAACUAGGCCUACUACAAUAUAGGAGCUCCCGUUGCGUGGAGGGCAUUGGAACGUCGCGGCGGUUGGGGAUGGACUCGCGGAUGAUGAGCUUGUUGGUGGGGUAGUGGCUGACCAAGGGUUUGACGGGUCGCCGGCAUGAGAGGGUGACCGGCCACAUUGGGACUGAGAGACGGCCCAGACUCGUACGGGAGGCAGCAGUGGGGAACAUUGUACAAUCGGCGGAAGCCUGAUGCAGCAACGUCGCGGGCGGGAUGACGGCCUUCGGGUUGUAAACCGCUUUCGCCUGUGACGAAGCGUGAGUGACGGUAAUGGAUAAAUAAGCACCGGCUAACUACGUG